This 329-nucleotide ribosomal RNA is filed under the name uncultured eukaryote. RNAcentral's name for it is "partial 18S ribosomal RNA". It matches the Rfam family "Eukaryotic small subunit ribosomal RNA", at positions 1470 to 1796 of the family's 1831-position model. The record is from RNAcentral.
CCCUUAGAUGUCCUGGGCCGCACGCGCGCUACACUGAGUGUCUGAGAUACGAGUCUGCCUGGUCCGGCAAGGUCUAGGUAAUCGCUAAAAGACACAUCAUGCUUGGGAUAGAUUAUUGCAAAUAUUAAUCUUGAACGAGGAAUUCCUAGUAAGCGCAAGUCAACAGCUUGCGUUGAUUACGUCCCUGCCCUUUGUACACACCGCCCGUCGCUACUACUGAUUGGAUGUUUAAGCGAGGUUCUCGAACUGCUAGCGACUUAGCUUCGGUGAGGUCGCAGUGUGGGAAGUGAACCUAGCUUUGGUGUCUAGAGGAAGUAAAAGCCGUAACA